AGUCUACCUGCCCACUGAAUAAAUUUAAAUGGCCGCAGUAUACUAACUGUGCAAAGGUAGCAUAAUCAUUAGUCUUUUAAUUGAAGGCUUGUAUGAAUGGUUGGACGAGAUAUUAACUGUUUCAUAAAAAUUUAUAAUAGAAUUUUAUUUUUUAGUCAAAAAGCUAAAAUAAAAUUAAAAGACGAGAAGACCCUAUAAAUCUUUAUAUAUAAAUUAUUAGAAUUUUAUAGAUUUUUUUUAUUAUAAUAAUUAAUUAUAUUUUAUUGGGGUGAUAUUAAAAUUUAAUAAACUUUUAAUUGUUUAAAUCAUUAAUUUAUGAAAUAUUGAUCCGUUAAUAGCGAUUAAAAAAAUAAGUUACUUUAGGGAUAACAGCGUAAUUUUUUUGGAGAGUUCAUAUCGAUAAAAAAGAUUGCGACCUCGAUGUUGGAUUAAGAUAUAAUUUUAGGUGUAGCCGCUUAAAUUUUAAGUCUGUUCGACUUUUAAAUUCUUACA
This 492-nucleotide ribosomal RNA is filed under the name Ravinia floridensis. Its description in RNAcentral is "partial 16S ribosomal RNA". It matches the Rfam family "Bacterial large subunit ribosomal RNA", at positions 1852 to 2600 of the family's 2925-position model. Lineage: Eukaryota; Metazoa; Arthropoda; Insecta; Diptera; Sarcophagidae. The record is from RNAcentral.